Molecule: ribosomal RNA, 253 nt
Filed under: uncultured bacterium
Lineage: Bacteria
Description: partial 16S ribosomal RNA
Rfam family: Bacterial small subunit ribosomal RNA
Source: RNAcentral
GACGUAGGGGGCCAGCGUUGUUCGGAAUUACUGGGCGUAAAGGGCUCGUAGGCGGCCAACUAAGUCAGACGUGAAAUCCCUCGGCUUAACUGGGGAACUGCGUCUGAUACUGGAUGGCUUGGAUUCGGGAGAGGAAUGCGGAAUUCCAGGUGUAGCGGUGAAAUGCGUAGAUAUCUGGAGGAACACCGGUGGCGAAGGCGGCAUUCUGGACCGAUAUUGACGCUGAGGAGCGAAAGCCAGGGGAGCAAACGGG